AGCCGGGGAAGUAGCGGCUCCCUGUACCUGAAAUCCGCUAUAGCAGGGGUGAUGUUCUGCUUAGGGCUUUGCCUGUGAUGGCUGCCCGGUUUAAGUGGCGUUGAAGCCUGGGUCUUGCGCAAUAGGAAUCUCCGAACCAUGUCAGGUCGGGAACGAAGCAGCAUUAAGGGGAAGCUCCUAUGUGACGUGAGGGUGCCUGGGCUGAGCUAACUGGAUUGGUACCGCAUUGCAGGGUGGUUCGAAGC
Molecule: signal recognition particle RNA, 245 nt
Filed under: uncultured Butyrivibrio sp.
Lineage: Bacteria; Bacillati; Bacillota; Clostridia; Lachnospirales; Lachnospiraceae
Description: Bacterial large signal recognition particle RNA
Rfam family: Bacterial large signal recognition particle RNA
About the family: The signal recognition particle (SRP) is a universally conserved ribonucleoprotein involved in the co-translational targeting of proteins to membranes. Archaeal SRP consists of a 7S RNA and homologues of the eukaryotic SRP19 and SRP54 proteins. In most bacteria, the SRP consists of a 4.5S RNA and the Ffh protein (a homologue of the eukaryotic SRP54 protein).
Source: RNAcentral